Molecule: transfer RNA, 77 nt
Filed under: Clostridium bowmanii
Lineage: Bacteria; Bacillati; Bacillota; Clostridia; Eubacteriales; Clostridiaceae
Also listed under: 4 other names
Description: tRNA-Ile
Rfam family: tRNA
About the family: Transfer RNA (tRNA) molecules are approximately 80 nucleotides in length.
Source: RNAcentral
GGGUCUAUAGCUCAGCUGGUUAGAGCGCUGCUCUGAUAAGGCAGAAGUCGAUGGUUCGAGUCCAUUUAGACCCACCA